Molecule: transfer RNA, 99 nt
Filed under: Streptomyces polyasparticus
Lineage: Bacteria; Bacillati; Actinomycetota; Actinomycetes; Kitasatosporales; Streptomycetaceae
Description: Streptomyces sp. TRM66268-LWL tRNA-OTHER
Source: RNAcentral
GCCCGCCUGACCCAAUCGGUAGAGGUGCGCGGUACCGGCCCCUUCGGGGAGAUCCGGCAGUAAUCCGCAGAGUUCCCGGUUCGAGUCCGGGGGCGGGCA